RNAcentral lists this transfer RNA (55 nucleotides) under Phaeocystis globosa. The record is from RNAcentral. Lineage: Eukaryota; Haptophyta; Phaeocystales; Phaeocystaceae.
GUUAGCAAUUUUCUAAAAUAAUUAAAUAAAAAUUGAAUUUAUGUUUGAGACAUUC